GCUUGUAAUUACUCUCAAAGAUACUCUUUCUUUAUUUGACAACUAAUCAAUUUCCCUGGCAGCUUAGACUGACAAAAGAUUUCUCUUAAUCUAAGUGAGCUCUUCCAUUGAAUUAUUCUAACCUUCUAAUAGCAUUUGAGAUCCUCAGAAAUGUCAGCCUGAGAAUCGAGGCCAACCACCUGCUCAAAACCUGCCUCUGAAGCCCUGUCUUCUCUGUUUCUCUGUUUGCUUUGAAUGCCCUCCCAAAAGGGGAUAAUUAAGUGUUCUGGUUUGCAAGUCUUCCCGUUGUGCCAGGUUUCCAGAAAAAGUAUGGUUUGACGUGUGGUAAUGAAUAGUCAACAAAGAAGACUACUGAGACACUGAGCAGACAAGUAACUUUCCAAGCAUCAUACGGACAUAUUAACAUACAUAUUAAAAAAGGAGGACUUCAACCCAGUCAUUCCUGCCUCAAGGAUCAACUCUUUAUUUAUUAUGUCAUGCUGAAAAGACAAAGAUAUUAUUAAAUACUAUUCUUGCUAUGGUUGUUGCUGGGAAGCUGUGAUGUGGUAAAUAGAGUGUUGUACGUGGAAAUAGAGACUAAUACAUAUUAAUUGGCAUAUCACUUAAUCUUC
Long non-coding RNA from Sarcophilus harrisii (Tasmanian devil), 611 nucleotides. RefSeq lists it as uncharacterized. The record is from RefSeq and is a predicted model, not a curated record. Lineage: Eukaryota; Metazoa; Chordata; Mammalia; Dasyuromorphia; Dasyuridae. The transcript is spliced from 3 exons.